Non-coding RNA from Pantoea sp. PSNIH2, 110 nucleotides. Lineage: Bacteria; Pseudomonadati; Pseudomonadota; Gammaproteobacteria; Enterobacterales; Erwiniaceae. The record is from Rfam.
CUUUAACAAUCCGGAACAAGCUGAAAAUUUGAAAGAGCAGCUUCUUGUAUAAAGAACUGUUCAGAGUCUCUCAAUUUCUCGCACCAUGCGGUGUCGCAAGACGCCUGCGG